Molecule: ribosomal RNA, 572 nt
Filed under: Filobasidium chernovii
Lineage: Eukaryota; Fungi; Basidiomycota; Tremellomycetes; Filobasidiales; Filobasidiaceae
Description: partial large subunit ribosomal RNA
Rfam family: Eukaryotic large subunit ribosomal RNA
Source: RNAcentral
AGCGGGAAGAGCUCAAAUUUGAAAUCUGGUGGCCUCAGGUCAUCCGAGUUGUAAUCUAUAGAAAUGUUUUCCGUGCUGGCUCAUGUACAAGUCCCUUGGAACAGGGCGUCAUAGAGGGUGAGAAUCCCGUCCUUGACAUGAACUACCAGUGCUCUGUGAUACAUUUUCAACGAGUCGAGUUGUUUGGGAAUGCAGCUCAAAAUGGGUGGUAAAUUCCAUCUAAAGCUAAAUAUUGGCGAGAGACCGAUAGCGAACAAGUACCGUGAGGGAAAGAUGAAAAGCACUUUGGAAAGAGAGUUAAACAGUAUGUGAAAUUGUUAAAAGGGAAACGAUUGAAGUCAGUCGUGCUCUUUGGAUUCAGCCGGUUCUGCCGGUGUACUUCCUUUGAGUGGGGUCAACAUCAGUUUUGAUCGCUGGAUAAAGGCUGGAGGAACGUAGCACCCUCGGGUGAACUUAUAGCCUCCUGUCACAUACAGUGGUUGGGACUGAGGAACGCAGCACGCCUUUAUGGCCGGGAUUCGUCCACGUACGUGCUUAGGAUGUUGACAUAAUGGCUUUAAACGACCCGUCUU